AACAUCUAAGUACCCCGAGGAAAAGAAAUCAACCGAGAUUCCCCCAGUAGCGGCGAGCGAACGGGGAGCAGCCCAGAGUCUGAAUCAGCUUGUGUGUUAGUGGAACGGUCUGGAAAGUCCGACGGUACAGGGUGAUAGUCCCGUACACCAAAAUGCACAGGUUGUGAACUCGAAGAGUAGGGCGGGACACGUGGUAUCCUGUCUGAAUAUGGGGGGACCAUCCUCCAAGGCUAAAUACUCCUGACUGACCGAUAGUGAACCAGUACCGUGAGGGAAAGGCGAAAAGAACCCCGGCGAGGGGAGUGAAAAAGAACCUGAAACCGUGUACGUACAAGCAGUGGGAGCCUACUUGUUAGGUGACUGCGUACCUUUUGUAUAAUGGGUCAGCGACUUAUAUUCUGUAGCAAGGUUAACCGAAUAGGGGAGCCGAAGGGAAACCGAGUCUUAACUGGGCGUUAAGUUGCAGGGUAUAGACCCGAAACCCGGUGAUCUAGCCAUGGGCAGGUUGAAGGUUGGGUAACACUAACUGGAGGACCGAACCGACUAAUGUUGAAAAAUUAGCGGAUGACUUGUGGCUGGGGGUGAAAGGCCAAUCAAACCGGGAGAUAGCUGGUUCUCCCCGAAAGCUAUUUAGGUAGCGCCUCGUGAAUUCAUCUUCGGGGGUAGAGCACUGUUUCGGCUAGGGGGUCAUCCCGACUUACCAACCCGAUGCAAACUGCGAAUACCGAAGAAUGUUAUCACGGGAGACACACGGCGGGUGCUAACGUCCGUCGUGAAGAGGGAAACAACCCAGACCGCCAGCUAAGGUCCCAAAGUCACAGUUAAGUGGGAAACGAUGUGGGAAGGCACAGACAGCCAGGAUGUUGGCUUAGAAGCAGCCAUCAUUUAAAGAAAGCGUAAUAGCUCACUGGUCGAGUCGGCCUGCGCGGAAGAUGUAACGGGGCUAAACCAUGCACCGAAGCUGCGGCAGCGACACUAUGUGUUGUUGGGUAGGGGAGCGUUCUGUAAGCCGUUGAAGGUGUGUCGUGAGGCAUGCUGGAGGUAUCAGAAGUGCGAAUGCUGACAUAAGUAACGAUAAUGCGGGUGAAAAACCCGCACGCCGGAAGACCAAGGGUUCCUGUCCAACGUUAAUCGGGGCAGGGUGAGUCGACCCCUAAGGCGAGGCCGAAAGGCGUAGUCGAUGGGAAACAGGUUAAUAUUCCUGUACUUGGUGUUACUGCGAAGGGGGGACGGAGAAGGCUAUGUUAGCCGGGCGACGGUUGUCCCGGUUUAAGCAUGUAGGCGGAGGUUCCAGGUAAAUCCGGUACCUUUUUAACGCUGAGGUGUGAUGACGAGGCACUACGGUGCUGAAGUAACAAAUGCCCUGCUUCCAGGAAAAGCCUCUAAGCAUCAGGUAACACGAAAUCGUACCCCAAACCGACACAGGUGGUCAGGUAGAGAAUACCAAGGCGCUUGAGAGAACUCGGGUGAAGGAACUAGGCAAAAUGGUGCCGUAACUUCGGGAGAAGGCACGCUGAUAUGUAGGUGAAGUGGUUUACUCAUGGAGCUGAAAUCAGUCGAAGAUACCAGCUGGCUGCAACUGUUUAUUAAAAACACAGCACUGUGCAAACACGAAAGUGGACGUAUACGGUGUGACGCCUGCCCGGUGCCGGAAGGUUAAUUGAUGGGGUUAUCCGUAAGGAGAAGCUCUUGAUCGAAGCCCCGGUAAACGGCGGCCGUAACUAUAACGGUCCUAAGGUAGCGAAAUUCCUUGUCGGGUAAGUUCCGACCUGCACGAAUGGCGUAAUGAUGGCCAGGCUGUCUCCACCCGAGACUCAGUGAAAUUGAACUCGCUGUGAAGAUGCAGUGUACCCGCGGCAAGACGGAAAGACCCCGUGAACCUUUACUAUAGCUUGACACUGAACACUGGUCCUUGAUGUGUAGGAUAGGUGGGAGGCUUUGAAGUGUGGACGCCAGUCUGCAUGGAGCCAACCUUGAAAUACCACCCUUUAAUGGCUGGUGUUCUAACGUGGACCCGUGAUCCGGGUUGCGGACAGUGUCUGGUGGGUAGUUUGACUGGGGCGGUCUCCUCCUAAAGAGUAACGGAGGAGCACGAAGGUUAGCUAAUCCUGGUCGGACAUCAGGAGGUUAGUGCAAAGGCAUAAGCUAGCUUGACUGCGAGAGUGACGGCUCGAGCAGGUGCGAAAGCAGGUCUUAGUGAUCCGGUGGUUCUGAAUGGAAGGGCCAUCGCUCAAC
Molecule: ribosomal RNA, 2235 nt
Filed under: human gut metagenome
Description: bacterial LSU rRNA
Rfam family: Bacterial large subunit ribosomal RNA
Source: RNAcentral